RNAcentral lists this ribosomal RNA (523 nucleotides) under uncultured bacterium. RNAcentral describes it as "bacterial SSU rRNA". It matches the Rfam family "Bacterial small subunit ribosomal RNA", at positions 24 to 518 of the family's 1533-position model. The record is from RNAcentral.
UCAGGACGAACGCUGGCGGCGUGCCUAAUACAUGCAAGUCGAACGGUCUUUCUAUGGAAGCUUGCUUCCACUGAGAAGAUAGUGGCGGACGGGUGAGUAACACGUGGGGUAACCUGCCCAUAAGAGGGGGGAUAACAUCCGGAAACGGGUGCUAAUACCGCAUAGUUUUCUUGAUCGCAUGAUUGAGAAAGGAAAGACGGCCUUUGUGCUGUCGCUUAUGGAUGGACCCGCGGCGUAUUAGUUAGUUGGUGAGGUAACGGCUCACCAAGACGAUGAUACGUAGCCGACCUGAGAGGGUGAUCGGCCACAUUGGGACUGAGACACGGCCCAAACUCCUACGGGAGGCAGCAGUAGGGAAUCUUCCGCAAUGGACGAAAGUCUGACGGAGCAACGCCGCGUGAGUGAAAGAAGGUUUUCGGAUCGUAAAACUCUGUUGUCAGAGAAGAACAAGUCGGAGAGUAACUGCUCCGGCCUUGACGGUAUCUGACCAGAAAGCCACGGCUAACUACGUGCCAGCCGCCGC